CGUGCUGCAGCUGAGGUCUGGAGGCAGGCAGUUUGCCUCCCUAGCCCUUUGUUUCCUCUGCUGAGCUGUGGCCACGGGAAGAGUGACUGUGCCCAUAAGUCUGGUGAUGGAGAUGCCUGGAUGAAGGUGACCAGUUUAUUUCACACAGGGCAAACAUCUGUCAUCUUAGACCUGAGCCUGCAUUUGAGCCAUUGACCUAGGAGGGAGAAACUAUGAAUCAGAACACCAAUCCUUUCAGGGCUUCUCUUCUGAAAGUUAUGAACCAGAAAACAGCCACAUACCAAAACAGCACAGUCUGUUCAUAAGAACGGCCAUAUGGGUCUGAUCAAUGUCCAUCUAGUCCAAGAUCCUGUCCUCCAACAGUGGCCAAUGCCAGGUGCUUCAGAGGGAAUGAACAGAACAGGGCAAUUAUCAAGUGAUCCAUCCUCGGUUGUUCAGUCCCAGCUUCUUGCAGUUGGAGGUUUAGGGACACCUAGAGUCUGCGGUUGCAUCCCUGACCAUCUUAGCUAAUAGCCAUUAAUGGACCUCUUCUCCAUGAAUUUAUCUAGUUAUACUGUUCAGAAAUAGGGGAAACAGAGGUCAGAUUCCCAGACAGUGUUUCAGGGGAGCAUCUCUGUCUGCUACUCUGGACAUUGGAAAUUUCUACAUGACUCUUUUCACUUACUUCCCUGCUAGGCAGAGGGUGUGUUGGUCUGUGGCAAGAGCUCCCCACGUGCGGUAGAUCCACUUUGUGAUUUGCUGCUCACCUCCCCACAUGUGUAAAUGUUUUGUGGAUUGUGCUGAGGGUAUCACUCAGCUGCUCAGGGGUGCUGAACCUUUAAGGAAAUGUUUGUUUAUGCAGUGCUGCCAGAUUUCCUAUGCUGCUUGGCACAGGGUCACACAUCUCCUUGUCUGUCUUUAUUAAUGCCCAUUUCUGUUUAACAAUGUGUAGUGACAUAGAGCUUUCUUUGUGGGUUUUACAUUCCACUGAGAUUAUAUAUAGGUUCUGAGCUCCUACCACCAAUAAUGCUACAAAAACGUCUAUUUCUUUCAGGCAGCUGCUGCUCCUGCUAAGGAAUUCUUCAAAGCGAGGCUGCUGGUUUCAAAGGCCAUCCAUUCCCUUGAACGUGGCGAUUCUGGCACCAGAUCUGCUAACCUCACAGUCAGUCGCCAGUUAUCCAAACACGGCCACAUUUCGAUGCUCUCUUAUGAGCAUGGGGCACAUGCAUAAACACAGAGGGAAAACAAUGCGGGCCACUUCUGGUCUCUGCUGAAAGACGUUUACAUUGGUAAGAAUGGUUUUGUAUCAUAAAUGAUAGGAAUUUCCUGUGAGUGAGAGGGAUCAGAUAGAGGUACAUAGGCGCAACUGGAUACUCUGCUUGUAUGAUUUGAGAUACAUGUUGAAAGUUAAUGUGCAAGAUGAAUUACCCAGUACUAGGUGAGAAUGACAUAUUUUUGUUAUGAUGAAAGAAUUGGAGUACAAGGUUCCAAAACACUUUGUUUUUUCAAAUGACAUUUCAUGAGCCUGUUUGCCCCAUACUGGGGACUGUGGGUACUUCUUAAAUAAAAGAAUUAAAGCAGA
Non-coding RNA from Caretta caretta (loggerhead turtle), 1561 nucleotides. Lineage: Eukaryota; Metazoa; Chordata; Testudines; Cheloniidae. The record is from RefSeq and is a predicted model, not a curated record.